GUCAUUUUAGUAUAGCGGUGAGUAUUCCCUCCUGUCACACGGGUGACCCGGGUUCGAUCCCUGGCAACGACG
Non-coding RNA from Picea glauca (white spruce), 72 nucleotides. The record is from Rfam. NCBI's taxonomy places the organism in Eukaryota, Viridiplantae, Streptophyta, Pinopsida, Pinales, Pinaceae.